This 121-nucleotide ribosomal RNA is filed under the name Rosa chinensis. Lineage: Eukaryota; Viridiplantae; Streptophyta; Magnoliopsida; Rosales; Rosaceae. The record is from RNAcentral.
AGGUGCGAUCAUUCCAGCAAUAAUGCAGCGGAUCCCAUCAGAACUCCGAAGUUAAGCUUGCUUGGGCGAGAGCAGUACUAGGAUGGGUGACCUCCUGGGAAGUCCUCGUGUUGCACCUCUC